AUCACUCUUAUCUCUCGCUCUCGUUCUCGCUCUGUUCCUUCUUCUUGCAAGCCCCAUCACUGCCUGUCUCUAGGGUUCAUGGAAGCCGACACCCGGAGCCACUUGUCCGCCGCUUCCAAGAGCCGCCAUCCGGUUUUGCAAUCCCGAUACGAUGCGUAUCUCGGGUUCGAGGAGUUGGAUGGAGGGGAGGACGAACCGCGACCGGAGUUCGCUUGCCCGUUCUGCUCUGAGGUCUUCGAUGUCGUGGGGCUGUGCUGCCACAUGGAUGAUGAGCAUCCGGUCGAGGCUAAGAACGGGGUGUGCCCUGUUUGUGCAGCUAGGGUUGGGAUGGACAUGGUUGGCCACAUAACAACACAACAUGCAAAUUUUUUAAAAAUACAGCGUAGGAGGAGAUACCACAAAGGAUCCUGGGGGUCCCACUCUACAAUUCUUUUGUUGAGAAAGGAUAAUACACUGGAAGGCAAUAUGCAAUCACUUGUGGGGGGUUCUUCUUUUACUCCCUCCAGUGCUGCACCUGAUCCAUUGUUGUCGUCAUUCAUUUUUAAUUUGCCAGUGAUUGAUCCAUCAGAAGAUGCCCGGCCUGAACCUUUGGAUGAACGAAGUAUGGAUGAUAAAAUUUCAGAGGAGAAAUUGGUUGAGAGUGUUGUGCCAUGUCCACUACACCAAGAUCGGGAGGAGAGUGCUCGGAGGAGCGAGUUUGCGAGCCAGAUUGUGAUCUCUACAAUAUUCGAUGAUGCAUUAUGAACUCCUCCAGCUCUCAUGGUGGCAUCAGCAGCAGCUCACGAGACAAUCUGGACAUGGUUAGAGGUUGCUGCAAUGGUGAUACCGGACCUGAACCAGAUUUGCGGCAGCUAGAUUUAGUCCCACAUCGAGGAAGUACGAGGAGGCCAGCGACCACGGAGCGUACAAGAGGAGAGUGAGGCCGCUAUAGUUCCAUACUUACCUGGACGGGGUCGAUGGGCGAACAAGUAGGCCCAUGGCCUGGGUCUGUGACCUCCAUUGCACUUUGGAGGGGUGCUGGCCCACCAUCUCCCCAAGUGGGAGAGUGGACGUCAUAAUUUGUGGUAGAUGGGGGUACGCGUCCGCGCGGCCCCUGCCAAAUCAUUAUCUAAAUCCUUAUGUGGGCCAUUUGGGAUCCAUUUUUAUCUCCGUUAUAUUAAAUCCUUUUUGUUCGAGCAAUCAAGAGUACACGCAUCUUAAAGCUCUUAACCCUCCUCCGCUUGAUUUCUCUUCUAAUAGCCUUCGCCUUGUAAAAAUUGAAAGUUUUAAGGAGGCAUCACGAGGCGAUUAGGUUGGAAUUUCUGGUUCCUCGUUCUUCCGGAGAUAUAAAGCUCAUUUUGGUAGGAAUAAGCGCUCAUACAGAACUUAAUUAUUUUGGAGAAGCAAUCGUCAUUGUUAGUCUUUAGAGAGGUUUAAUUUAUUGAUCCUUCUUCCUCUGGCAACCCUUGAUGUUACUGUCUGAGCAAUGAAGUUAA
This is an RNA transcript of Musa acuminata AAA Group (dessert banana), 1475 nucleotides long. It is a transcript of the gene named protein DEHYDRATION-INDUCED 19 homolog 2, with no coding region annotated. The record is from RefSeq and is a predicted model, not a curated record. The transcript has 6 exons. Lineage: Eukaryota; Viridiplantae; Streptophyta; Magnoliopsida; Zingiberales; Musaceae.